AACGGUCUAUACCUGCGGUACCUGCGGAGGGAUCAUUAACGAAUAACUAUGGUGUUGGUUGUAGCUGGCUCCUCGGAGCAAUGUGCACGCCCGCCAUUUUUAUCUUUCCACCUGUGCACCGACUGUAGGUCUGGAUACCUCUCGCCUCCGGGCGGAUGCGAGGGUUGCUCGUAAGGGCUUCCCUUGAACUUCCAGGCUCUACGUCUUUUUACACACCCCAAUAGUAUGAUGCAGAAUGUA
RNAcentral lists this unclassified non-coding RNA (240 nucleotides) under soil metagenome. RNAcentral describes it as "partial contains 5.8S ribosomal RNA, internal transcribed spacer 2, and large subunit ribosomal RNA". The record is from RNAcentral.